AUUGAAGAUCCAAAUGUUCUGAGGUCUUCCAUUUGUAGCCCAAACUAAUUUCAAUAUGAAGGAAACAUUAAGACUUUGACUCUAGGACAUAGAACUUUGUUCAACACAAGUGGGCAACUAGAAAGCAGUUAGUAGAGAAGAUUGGAUCAACAGCCACGCUUCAGGAUAUUUGUCAAAUAAAAGCUCUUUUUUUUUUUUCGUUUAUUAGGAAACAGUGAAAUUCAAUUUAGAAUCGCUGACAAUGUUUAGUUUAGCAUGAAAAUCUCAAUCUAAAAGAUUAUAAAGGACGUUCCUUGGUAAACAUAGUAUUUGAAGGUCUCAGACUGCACAUGUCAAAAGGAAGCAAGCUUUCACUUGAUGGCGGCUUGAAGAGGUCAUCAUCAGUGAGUCAUGUUCUUUUGUGAGUCAUGUUCUACAUAAAAACCUGCAAAGUCUCUUUCAGCCCAAACUUUUGAUUGGGAGGGGCGUGGGAAGGGGGCUAUUCCAAAUAGAUAAUAGAUCCUGAUUUGUUCUGAAAUCAACUGACAUGUUCAACAAUGUUAACAAUGUUCUACUAAAACUUUAAGCUACAAGCCCAAGAAAUUAGCUACCGCUUUUUUUUUUUACCACAAGUUUAAAGCAUUAUAAAAAAAAUACAUAGAUUAUCAGCAUAUUGAUCCAUCUGUACACAAGAUACACCAGAAAAGCCAGAUUUAUAUAGGUUCACUUCCAUUCUGGACAUCACAAUGAACUUAAAUCUCAUUUAUUUCUAGGUGAUAGAUAUCUGAGUUCAUUUAAGACAUAAACAAAAAUAGCUUGGAACCAUAGAAAUGGUUGAUAUUAUGCCAGGAGGUGUACACCAUUCAUCCAGGCUGGUGAGAGAGAGCUCUUGUUUGCAUUUGCUGGUCUUAGGGUUCCAAGUGCGAUGCACAACUCUACAUGACAAUUUCAAAUGAUAUUACAAACCUUCAUGAUGUUUUGUUACCAUACUAUUAAGAGCAACACGCUCUGGGACUAUGAAGUUUGAUGGUCAUAAGUGUCAUUGAAACAAUCUGAUUGAUAAAAGUAAUAAUGAAAGUAAUGUCAAUGGAAUACAAAUGUUUGAGGAAACAGAAGAUAAAACAAGGCACAUUUUAUCUUAACUCACUCUAUUGUUAUCAAUAAAUAUAGAGUUAAAAUAGCUUCCUAAAAUAUGACUAAAAAAUAAUUUUUUCUUCAUGAUGUAAAGACCAGUCUCCAUAAAAACAAAUAUAUACUACAAGGCCAUUUGUAUAGUUUUAAAAAAUCUUGAACUUUGAAAAAUUUGUGCAUUUCUUUCUUGCAUGUGGCAAUGAAGAAUUAUGGUAUGUUUAACUAAUGUCAAGAAUGAAAUGACAAGGCCAG
Molecule: non-coding RNA, 1362 nt
Organism: Biomphalaria pfeifferi
Lineage: Eukaryota; Metazoa; Mollusca; Gastropoda; Planorbidae
Source: the annotation of a GenBank genome assembly